RNAcentral lists this ribosomal RNA (248 nucleotides) under uncultured bacterium. Its description in RNAcentral is "partial 16S ribosomal RNA". It matches the Rfam family "Bacterial small subunit ribosomal RNA", at positions 524 to 771 of the family's 1533-position model. The record is from RNAcentral.
UACGUAGGGCGCAAGCGUUGUCCGGAAUUAUUGGGCGUAAAGAGCUCGUAGGCGGUUUGUCGCGUCUGGUGUGAAAACUCAAGGCUCAACCUUGAGCUUGCAUCGGGUACGGGCAGACUAGAGUGUGGUAGGGGAGAUCGGAAUUCCUGGUGUAGCGGUGAAAUGCGCAGAUAUCUGGAGGAACACCGGUGGCGAAGGCGGCAUCCUGGACCGACACUGACGCUGAGGAGCGAAAGCCAGGGGAGCAA